RNAcentral lists this long non-coding RNA (606 nucleotides) under Panicum hallii. RNAcentral describes it as "long non-coding RNA (PHAL_LNC000205)". The record is from RNAcentral. Lineage: Eukaryota; Viridiplantae; Streptophyta; Magnoliopsida; Poales; Poaceae.
AAUGUGAUAGAUUUGUGGAGAUAUGCAUGUAAUUUCCAAUGACACGUGGGUGUUCCAUUCUGUGAUUUGAGCACAAUAUUGAUUUGUCCACUGCAAAAGGUUCAAUUGGAAAUAUGGUCCUUCAUGGGUGCUGUAUGUGAGUACAGUGUCUCGCUCAUAUGUGUUUGGAAAAUAUAGGAUGUAAUCUGGUGGAAAAUGGAAGAUCUGAGUUGGUUUCAAGGAAGGCCCGCAUUUUUCUUUCAGCAAGAUAUAUAUCUUGUACUGAAAGAGUUGGUGUUGAUGGAUUAAGCGGAGUGGUUAUAAGUGCAUUUUUUAGAUUUUGAUCUUUGUUGUAGAUUGUUUCAGUCAUUUCUACAAUAGAUACUUGCUCACUCUUGUUCACUCUGUGUUGUAGCUUACCACAUGAAAAAAAAAAUGCAUGUAAAUAGUUGUGGUUGAAGAAUUCAGAACAGUGUAGAUGUAUGUUACCAUGUCUUUUGCAGAGGCCUUUACUGCUUGAUGUAGGGCGAGCAGAGUAGUUUUCUGUAGCUGCACGGAAGUAGAGUUGGUACUCAGUACCGGUUCUGCUUGACGAAAAUAUGAUUAGUACCUCUAUGUGGACACUGC